Molecule: transfer RNA, 67 nt
Filed under: Forcipomyia makanensis
Lineage: Eukaryota; Metazoa; Arthropoda; Insecta; Diptera; Ceratopogonidae
Description: Forcipomyia sp. m QL-2019 tRNA-Glu
Source: RNAcentral
AUUUAUAUAGUUUAAAAAAAACCUUACAUUUUCAUUGUGAAAAUAAAUACUCUUCAUUUUAUAAAUU